AAAAAGGGUCAACAGGUGGAGGACAAUAGACCAUUGGAACAGCUUUCUUCCAUCUCAGAAUCAUCUAGGAUUACCUUUUAUUACCCAUCAAUAAUUGUAAUUCAAAUGGAUGGACUCAUUGGCAAUACGUUCCAUUCCAUCAACCACACUACUUUGAGAGAACAGCAGAGUCCAAGCCAAGCACAGCACACGGAACCGACAACACCCCUAAUCAUAACUAAGCUUCACCUGACUCAUUAAGGUGAGCUGAUAAUCUAGCUAGAUAAACCUAAGCCAACCCGCUCGCC
This 287-nucleotide long non-coding RNA is filed under the name Setaria viridis. RNAcentral describes it as "long non-coding RNA (SVIR_LNC005745)". The record is from RNAcentral. Lineage: Eukaryota; Viridiplantae; Streptophyta; Magnoliopsida; Poales; Poaceae.